Molecule: ribosomal RNA, 200 nt
Filed under: uncultured bacterium
Lineage: Bacteria
Description: partial 16S ribosomal RNA
Rfam family: Bacterial small subunit ribosomal RNA
Source: RNAcentral
ACCUUCUGGGAUAGCCUUUCGAAAGAAAGAUUAAUACCGGAUAGCAUACGAAUAUCGCAUGAUAUUUUUAUUAAAGAAUUUCGGUUAUCGAUGGGGAUGCGUUCCAUUAGUUUGUUGGCGGGGUAACGGCCCUCCAAGACUACGAUGGAUAGGGGUUCUGAGAGGAAGGUCCCCCACAUUGGAACUGAGACACGGUCCAA